RNAcentral lists this transfer RNA (77 nucleotides) under Desulfovibrionaceae bacterium. RNAcentral's name for it is "tRNA-Arg". It matches the Rfam family "tRNA". From Rfam's summary of the family: Transfer RNA (tRNA) molecules are approximately 80 nucleotides in length. RNAcentral also lists the same sequence under 1 other name. The record is from RNAcentral. Lineage: Bacteria; Pseudomonadati; Thermodesulfobacteriota; Desulfovibrionia; Desulfovibrionales; Desulfovibrionaceae.
GCGCCUGUAGCUCAGUCGGAUAGAGCAACUGCCUUCUAAGCAGUCGGUCCGGGGUUCGAAUCCCUGCAGGCGCGCCA